GUUGAUAUCAUGCACGUGUUCUUCAAUAUCAAGCAUUUGGUCACAAUUAUUCUCAAUAACGUUGCCUUUGGUUUCAAGGUCAUGGCUUUCAAUCUCCAGGUCAUUUCCCUCGAUUUCAAGGCCACUUCCUUCAAUCUCAAGGCCAUUUCCCUCGAUUUCAAGUUCAUUGCCUUCAAUCUCUAGGUUAUUGCUAUCAAAUUCCAGAUCAUCAUCUUCCUCCUCAAGCAUUUGCUCACUGUUC
Molecule: long non-coding RNA, 241 nt
Filed under: Manihot esculenta (cassava)
Lineage: Eukaryota; Viridiplantae; Streptophyta; Magnoliopsida; Malpighiales; Euphorbiaceae
Description: long non-coding RNA (MESC_LNC005171)
Source: RNAcentral